UUCCUACGGGAGGCAGCAGUGGGGAAUAUUGCACAAUGGGCGCAAGCCUGAUGCAGCCAUGCCGCGUGUAUGAAGAAGGCCUUCGGGUUGUAAAGUACUUUCAGCGGGGAGGAAGGCGACAGGGUUAAUAACCCUGUCGAUUGACGUUACCCGCAGAAGAAGCACCGGCUAACUCCGUGCCAGCAGCCGCGGCAAUACGGAGGGUGCAAGCGUUAAUCGGAAUUACUGGGCGUAAAGCGCACGCAGGCGGUCUGUCAAGUCGGAUGUGAAAUCCCCGGGCUCAACCUGGGAACUGCAUUCGAAACUGGCAGGCUAGAGUCUUGUAGAGGGGGGUAGAAUUCCAGGUGUAGCGGUGAAAUGCGUAGAGAUCUGGAGGAAUACCGGUGGCGAAGGCGGCCCCCUGGACAAAGACUGACGCUCAGGUGCGAAAGCGUGGGGAGCAAACAGGAUUAGAUACCCUGGUAGUCCACGCCGUAAACGAUGUCGACUUGGAGGUUGUGCCCUUGAGGCGUGGCUUCCGGAGCUAACGCGUUAAGUCGACCGCCUGGGGAGUACGGCCGCAAGGUUAAAACUCAAAUGAAUUGACGG
This 588-nucleotide ribosomal RNA is filed under the name uncultured Enterobacteriaceae bacterium. Its description in RNAcentral is "bacterial SSU rRNA". It matches the Rfam family "Bacterial small subunit ribosomal RNA", at positions 336 to 916 of the family's 1533-position model. Lineage: Bacteria; Pseudomonadati; Pseudomonadota; Gammaproteobacteria; Enterobacterales; Enterobacteriaceae. The record is from RNAcentral.